Molecule: ribosomal RNA, 465 nt
Filed under: uncultured Klebsiella sp.
Lineage: Bacteria; Pseudomonadati; Pseudomonadota; Gammaproteobacteria; Enterobacterales; Enterobacteriaceae
Description: bacterial SSU rRNA
Rfam family: Bacterial small subunit ribosomal RNA
Source: RNAcentral
CCUACGGGCGGCAGCAGUGGGGAAUAUUCCACAAUGGGCGCAAGCCUGAUGCAGCCAUGCCGCGUGUGUGAAGAAGGCCUUCGGGUUGUAAAGCACUUUCAGCGGGGAGGAAGGCGUUAAGGUUAAUAACCUUGGCGAUUGACGUUACCCGCAGAAGAAGCACCGGCUAACUCCGUGCCAGCAGCCGCGGUAAUACGGAGGGUGCAAGCGUUAAUCGGAAUUACUGGGCGUAAAGCGCACGCAGGCGGUCUGUCAAGUCGGAUGUGAAAUCCCCGGGCUCAACCUGGGAACUGCAUUCGAAACUGGCAGGCUAGAGUCUUGUAGAGGGGGGUAGAAUUCCAGGUGUAGCGGUGAAAUGCGUAGAGAUCUGGAGGAAUACCGGUGGCGAAGGCGGCCCCCUGGACAAAGACUGACGCUCAGGUGCGAAAGCGUGGGGAGCAAACAGGAUUAGAUACCCGAGUAGUC